Non-coding RNA from Podarcis lilfordi (Lilford's wall lizard), 71 nucleotides. Lineage: Eukaryota; Metazoa; Chordata; Lepidosauria; Squamata; Lacertidae. The record is from the annotation of a GenBank genome assembly.
GGGCCAUAGUUCAGUGGUAGAACAUCUGCUUUGCAUGCAGAAGGUCAAAGUUUUGAUCACUGGCAUCUCCA